Cryptotermes secundus is the source of this 970-nucleotide long non-coding RNA. RefSeq lists it as uncharacterized. NCBI's taxonomy places the organism in Eukaryota, Metazoa, Arthropoda, Insecta, Blattodea, Kalotermitidae. The transcript is spliced from 3 exons. The record is from RefSeq and is a predicted model, not a curated record.
UUAGCAGUCAUUUUGUGUUGAGAAAGCAAGAACCUCGUCCGUUGUGAAUCUGCACCGACUAUCUGAAGCAGAAUUCCACAGGACAGCACCAGUUUUCAACAGUAUCAAGAAAUGAUAUGAGAAAUUCCGGGAAGAAGGCUGUCUAUGCAAAGCUCUUCGGACGGGACAUCCAGGACCAAGCGAAGAAAUAGUAGAGGCCUUGCAACGACCUGGUCACCCGCCCAAGGAGUCCUACUGAAUGCCUAAAAUCUAGUGAACCGAAGCGAAACGGAGAGUUUCAUGGAGUUUAACAUGCUUCUUGGUAUCCAUGGUUUUCCUCAAGAUAAUGUGACACUGAAGGCAACUGAAGAUAUAUUUAUAAUUAUUAGAAUCAUUGUCAAAUGAAAUCCUGUCAUUUAAUCUCUGCUCAGCCUGCAAGGCUAUGAUGUAAAUGAACGAGAACUAUAUUUCAUAUAGACAAUGUAAUAUGAAAAAUAAAAGAAUCUAUGUUAACAAUUUUGAUAUGAAACACAUAUUGUCAUUGUAAUUUAAGCAGUGUACAAGAUCUUUAUGAGAUGUCUUGAACCAUUACAGUAGUAGAAGUCCAUCAAGUGUUACUAGUGUAACAGGAAUAAGUAAAAGUUCUGCUUUUACUUGUUUCAGUCAUAAUUGGCCAUUGUCAGAAGGCAUGGCCAUCACUGUAAAGAAUCAUACUUCCAUAUGCUGUUGUUUAUACAUAGGUUGUUCCUGUGUUAUCAGAGUAGUUGUAGAAAUUAAGACAUGAUAGAGUUAAAUAAGCUGUGUAUUUAAAGUAACAGCUUAAAAUCUGUGAAGAAGCCUUGUUGAGUAAAUAAAAGAAUAUAUUUGAGGCUUUCUAUUGUUGGUAACAUUAAAUAUUUCAUUGACUGUUGUAUUGUGGGCCAUGCAUCCAUCUGUGUGAUGUCAUGUGUAGUCCAGUGAAGUGUAGUACUUUUUUUUCUUAUUGCUAGUG